GUAUGCCUAACACAUGCAAGUCGAACGAGGUAGCAAUACCUAGUGGCGGACGGGUGAGGAAUACGUAGGGAUCUGCCUUUAAGUGGGGGAUAACCCGGGGAAACCCGGAUUAAUACCGCAUGAUCUCGCAAGAGCAAAGUGGGGGAUCGCAAGACCUCACGCUUUUAGAGGAACCUACGUCGGAUUAGCUUGUUGGUGAGGUAACGGCUCACCAAGGCGACGAUGCGUAGCCGACCUGAG
Molecule: ribosomal RNA, 240 nt
Filed under: uncultured Chaetoceros
Lineage: Eukaryota; Bacillariophyta; Thalassiosirophyceae; Chaetocerotales; Chaetocerotaceae
Description: partial Bacterial small subunit ribosomal RNA
Rfam family: Bacterial small subunit ribosomal RNA
Source: RNAcentral